This 2901-nucleotide ribosomal RNA is filed under the name Clostridioides difficile. RNAcentral describes it as "bacterial LSU rRNA". It matches the Rfam family "Bacterial large subunit ribosomal RNA". Lineage: Bacteria; Bacillati; Bacillota; Clostridia; Peptostreptococcales; Peptostreptococcaceae. The record is from RNAcentral.
UGGUCAAGUUAUUAAGGGUGCAGGGCGGAUGCCUUGGCACUAGGAGCCGAUGAAGGACGUGAUAAGCUGCGAUAAGCUUCGGGGAGUUGCACGUAAACUUUGAUCCGAAGAUUUCCGAAUGAGGAAACUCACUUAGAGUAAUGUUUAAGUAUCAUUAAGUGAAUACAUAGCUUAAUGAGGGGAACUCAGGGAACUGAAACAUCUAAGUACCUGAAGGAAGAGAAAGAAAUUCGAUUCCGUAAGUAGCGGCGAGCGAACGCGGAUUAGCCCAAACCAAUAAAGUUUUCUUUAUUGGGGUUGAGGACAUACCACAUAUAAGAGGUCAUUAUAGACGAAGAAGUUUGGAAAAACUCAUCAUAGAAGGUAAUAAUCCUGUAGUCAAAAUAAUAAUUCUUUAGGUAUGAUCCAGAGUACCACGGGACACGUGAAACCCUGUGGGAAGCAGGAGGGACCACCCUCCAAGGCUAAAUACUACCUAGUGACCGAUAGCGUAUAGUACCGUGAGGGAAAGGUGAAAAGAACCCCGGGAGGGGAGUGAAAUAGAACCUGAAACCCUGCACUUACAAGCUGUGGAAGCACAUUUCUUGUGUGACCGCGUACUUUUUGUAGAACGGGCCAACGAGUUACGUUAAGUAGCAAGGUUAAGCACUUAAGGUGCGGAGCCGUAGCGAAAGCGAGUUUUAACUGAGCGUUCAGUUACUUGACGUAGACCCGAAACCGGGCGACCUACCCAUGAGCAGGAUGAAGCGAAAGUAAAAUUUCGUGGAGGUCCGAACCCACGAGCGUUGAAAAGCUCGGGGAUGACUUGUGGGUAGCGGUGAAAUUCCAAUCGAGCCCGGAGAUAGCUGGUUCUCCCCGAAAUAGCUUUAGGGCUAGCCUCAAGGUGAGAGAUACGGAGGUAGAGCACUGAAUGUCCUAGGGGGUAUUGCACCUACCGAAGACUAUCAAACUCCGAAUGCCGUCAUCUUAUACUUGGGAGUCAGACUGUGGGUGAUAAGAUUCAUAGUCGAAAGGGCAACAGCCCAGAUCGUCAGCUAAGGUCCCUAAAUGUAAGUUAAGUGGUAAAGGAUGUGGGAUUGCACAGACAACCAGGAUGUUGGCUUAGAAGCAGCCACUCAUUCAAAGAGUGCGUAAUAGCUCACUGGUCGAGUGAUCCUGCGCCGAAGAUUUCCGGGGCUAAAACUUACUACCGAAGCUACGGCAUCAGUAAUGAUGGGUAGGGGAGCUUCCCAUACGGGUUGAAGCAUGACCGUAAGGACAUGUGGACAGUAUGGGAGUGAGAAUGUUGGCAUGAGUAGCGAGAUGUGGGUGAGAAUCCCACAGGCCGUAAACCCAAGGUUUCCAGGGGAAGGUUCGUCCGCCCUGGGUUAGUCGGGACCUAAGCUGAGGCCGAAAGGCGUAGGUGAUGGACAACAGGUUGAUAUUCCUGUACUACCGAUAACCGUUUGAGAGAAGGGAUGACACAGUAGGAUAAGCUAAGCACACUGUUGGUUAUGUGUGCCCAAGCAUUGAGGCAGUCAAAGUAGGCAAAUCCGCUUUGAUAAUGCUGGGAUGUGAUGGGGAGCGAAAUUUAGUAGCGAAGUAGCUGAUUUCACACUGUCAAGAAAAGUCUCUAUCGAGGUUAAAGGUACCCGUACCGCAAACCGACACAGGUGGGUGAGGAGAGUAUCCUAAGGCCAGCGAGAGAACUGUUGUUAAGGAACUCGGCAAAAUGACCCCGUAACUUAGGGAUAAGGGGUGCCACCAUCAGGUGGCCGCAGAGAAUAGGCCCAAGCGACUGUUUACCAAAAACAUAGGUUUCUGCUAAGUCGCAAGACGAUGUAUAGGAGCUGACGCCUGCCCGGUGCUGGAAGGUUAAGGGGAUCUGUUAGAGCAAUCGAAGCAGUGAACUUAAGCCCCAGUAAACGGCGGCCGUAACUAUAACGGUCCUAAGGUAGCGAAAUUCCUUGUCGGGUAAGUUCCGACCCGCACGAAAGGCGUAACGAUUUGGGCACUGUCUCAACAACAGACUCGGUGAAAUUGUAAUUCCGGUGAAGAUGCCGGAUACCUGCGACAGGACGGAAAGACCCCAUGGAGCUUUACUGUAGCUUGACAUUGGGUCUUGGUACUACAUGUACAGGAUAGGUGGGAGGCUUUGAAACCAGGACGCCAGUUUUGGCGGAGCCAUCCUUGGGAUACCACCCUUGUAGUACUGGGACUCUAACCAUAGGCCAUGAAUCUGGUCUUGGGACACUGUCAGGUGGGCAGUUUGACUGGGGCGGUCGCCUCCCAAAAGGUAACGGAGGCGCUCAAAGGUUCUCUCAGUACGGUCGGAAAUCGUACGUAGAGUGUAAAGGCAAAAGAGAGCUUGAUUGCAAGACAUACAGGUCGAGCAAGGAUGAAAAUCGGACUUAGUGAUCCGGUGGUUCUGCGUGGAAGGGCCAUCGCUCAACGGAUAAAAGCUACCCUGGGGAUAACAGGCUUAUCUCCCCCAAGAGUCCACAUCGACGGGGAGGUUUGGCACCUCGAUGUCGGCUCAUCACAUCCUGGGGCUGUAGUAGGUCCCAAGGGUUGGGCUGUUCGCCCAUUAAAGUGGUACGCGAGCUGGGUUCAGAACGUCGUGAGACAGUUCGGUCCCUAUCCGUCGCAGGCGUAGGAAAUUUGAGAAGACCUGUCCUUAGUACGAGAGGACCGGGAUGGACGUACCUCUGGUGUACCAGUUGUCCUGCCAAGGGCAUGGCUGGGUAGCUAUGUACGGAAUGGAUAAGCGCUGAAAGCAUCUAAGCGCGAAGCCAACUUCAAGAUAAGAUUUCCCACCGCAAGGGUAAGACCCCAGAAAGACUAUCUGGUUGAUAGGUCGAAGGUGUAAGUGCAGCAAUGUAUUUAGCUUAUCGAUACUAAUAGGUCGAGGACUUGACCAAU